This 242-nucleotide long non-coding RNA is filed under the name Capsicum annuum. RNAcentral's name for it is "long non-coding RNA (CANN_LNC011251)". Lineage: Eukaryota; Viridiplantae; Streptophyta; Magnoliopsida; Solanales; Solanaceae. The record is from RNAcentral.
UCAUAUCACUAAAAUCGAAGGGAUGCCACUAUACUUGUUGCAACAAGUAGGAUUUGAAUUAAAAAGUCUACUCCAAAAUAGAUUGGUCCUUCGUUAAUAUCCAGUAGUUGUAGUAGUAUGGACACAUUGAAGCUGAUUUCUCAACCCUGGGGUAUCUAACCACUCUCCAAUUAUCAUAGAGUAUAGUCAAGUUGCCAACAUGAAACCAAAGACUUUUAAGUUGUACUCAACUGUAAUGGCCC